Molecule: ribosomal RNA, 468 nt
Filed under: uncultured bacterium
Lineage: Bacteria
Description: partial 16S ribosomal RNA
Rfam family: Bacterial small subunit ribosomal RNA
Source: RNAcentral
GACGAACGCUGGCGGCGUGCUUAACACAUGCAAGUCGAACGGAAAGGCCCUGCUUUUGUGGGGUGCUCGAGUGGCGAACGGGUGAGUAACACGUGAGUAACCUGCCCUUGACUUUGGGAUAACUUCAGGAAACUGGGGCUAAUACCGGAUAGGAGCUCCUGCUGCAUGGUGGGGGUUGGAAAGUUUCGGCGGUUGGGGAUGGACUCGCGGCUUAUCAGCUUGUUGGUGGGGUAGUGGCUUACCAAGGCUUUGACGGGUAGCCGGCCUGAGAGGGUGACCGGGCACAUUGGGACUGAGAUACGGCCCAGACUCCUACGGGAGGCAGCAGUGGGGAAUAUGGCACAAUGGGCGGAAGCGUGAUGCAGCAACGCCGCGUGCGGGAUGACGGCCUUCGGGUUGUAAACCGCUUUCGCCUGUGACGAAGCGUGAGUGACGGUAAUGGGUAAAGAAGCACCGGCUAACUACGUG